AGUCGUCAGAGCGACUAUAAACAGACUUUAGGCGCUGAGCGUUGACCGUUACAAAUGGCGGUCAGGUAGUA
RNAcentral lists this ribozyme (71 nucleotides) under unclassified sequences. Its description in RNAcentral is "pistol ribozyme". It matches the Rfam family "Pistol ribozyme". The record is from RNAcentral.